GACGAACGCUGGCGGCGUGCUUAACACAUGCAAGUCGAACGGAAAGGCCCUGCUUUUGUGGGGUGCUCGAGUGGCGAACGGGUGAGUAACACGUGAGUAACCUGCCCUUUACUUUGGGAUAACUUCAGGAAACUGGGGCUAAUACCGGAUAGGAGCUCCUGCUGCAUGGUGGGGGUUGGAAAGUUUCGGCGGGUGGGGAUGGACUCGCGGCUUAUCAGCUUGUUGGUGGGGUAGUGGCUUACCAAGGCUUUGACGGGUAGCCGGCCUGAGAGGGUGACCGGCCACAUUGGGACUGAGAUACGGCCCAGAGUCCUACGGGAGGCAGCAGUGGGGAAUAUUGCACAACGGGCGGAAGCCUGAUGCAGCAACGCCGCGUGCGGGAUGACGGCCUUCGGGUUGUAAACCGCUUUCGCCUGUGACGAAGCGUGAGUGACGGUAAUGGGUAAAGAAGCACCGGCUAACUACGUG
Molecule: ribosomal RNA, 468 nt
Filed under: uncultured bacterium
Lineage: Bacteria
Description: partial 16S ribosomal RNA
Rfam family: Bacterial small subunit ribosomal RNA
Source: RNAcentral